This 117-nucleotide ribosomal RNA is filed under the name Candidatus Cerribacteria bacterium 'Amazon FNV 2010 28 9'. The record is from RNAcentral. Lineage: Bacteria; Candidatus Cerribacteria.
UUUGGUCUUUAGAGCAGCGUGGAACGAUCUCUUCCCAUUCCGAACAGAGUCAUCAAACGCGCUAGCGCCGACGAUAAUCCUCGGGCAACUGAGCGUGAAAAUAGGUCAAGGCCAAAA